Molecule: long non-coding RNA, 890 nt
Organism: Juglans regia (Persian walnut)
Lineage: Eukaryota; Viridiplantae; Streptophyta; Magnoliopsida; Fagales; Juglandaceae
Exons: 4
Source: RefSeq, a predicted model, not a curated record
AGAAUUUUUUUUGUUUUGUUUUCCCUCCUCUUCUUUCUUCCUUCCUUUUCCCUCCCCAACCCCGACGGUUUCUUCCCGCCCGAAUCUUCCUCCUCCCCGUCUCUCCCUUCUCCCUAUUUCACUCCCCAUUUACGCCACUCCCCCAAGGUUUCUCUCUACCUCUCUGCCCAACGGCCCUCUCAAAAUUUUUUCUCCCAGCCCAACUCCCUCUUUCUUUUCUUCUCUGUGAAUCUCGCCGCCCAAGCUCCACCUCAGCGGUUCCUCUGUACCACUCGCCGCCGUCACUGAUUUCUAGGACUUCGAUUGACGACGAUCCUUCCUCACCACUCGCCGUCUCUAUUCGAAGGUUCCGUUACCGAUGCCUCCGCCCCUGUUCCACACCAACGACGCCUUCGCAUUCCUCUUCUCUAGGAUUUAGGCUGUGACAUAUUGAAGCCACCGGAGACAACCUCUCCAAGGGCACCUUCAACAUCCCUAGACAACGUCAAUUUCACUCUCUAAAUCUGACGGGCCAUCGCACGAAAUUAGAUAUUUUGGAUGUUUCAGCUAAUGAUCAAGAAUAGAGAAUAUGUGCAAGACUAUAUGAGCAUAGUGGAUUAAGUACACAAAGAGGGUAAUUUGAUUAUUUGAGAAUUUUAUUCAGUAGAUUGGAUUUUAUUAAGUUGAUUUUGUUUAUUGGGAUGUUGAUAAUUUAUCGACACUUGUGGAAUUGUUGAUUAAUUAUGUUAAGGUCCUUGUAGAGGAACAUUGAUAUUUAGUGUGAACAAAUGAGUUUAUGUUUAGAAAGCCUUUUGGAGUAUAUAUUAUAUUGUACUGUUGGGAGAUAAUUUUAGGUAACAGGAAGUAACUCCCUAACCCUCCAGGUACCGGGUGUUACAUGUGUUCUAACC